GAUGAACGCUGGCGGCGUGCCUAAUACAUGCAAGUCGAGCGAACGGACGAGAAGCUUGCUUCUCUGAUGUUAGCGGCGGACGGGUGAGUAACACGUGGAUAACCUACCUAUAAGACUGGGAUAACUUCGGGAAACCGGAGCUAAUACCGGAUAAUAUUUUGAACGGCAUGGUUCAAAAGUGAAAGACGGUCUUGCUGUCACUUAUAGAUGGAUCCGCGCUGCAUUAGCUAGUUGGUAAGGUAACGGCAUACCAAGGCAACGAUGCAUAGCCGACCUGAGAGGGUGAUCAGCCACACUGGAACUGAGACACGGUCCAGACUCCUACGGGAGGCAGCAGUAGGGAAUCUUCCGCAAUGGGCGAAAGCCUGACGGAGCAACGCCGCGUGAGUGAUGAAGGUCUUCGGAUCGUAAAGCUCUGUUAUUAGGGAAGAACAUAUGUGUAAGUAACUGUGCACAUCUUGACGGUACCUAAUCAGAAAGCCACGGCUAACUACGUG
RNAcentral lists this ribosomal RNA (497 nucleotides) under uncultured bacterium. RNAcentral's name for it is "partial 16S ribosomal RNA". It matches the Rfam family "Bacterial small subunit ribosomal RNA", at positions 28 to 507 of the family's 1533-position model. The record is from RNAcentral.